Molecule: transfer RNA, 72 nt
Filed under: Methanobacteriota archaeon
Lineage: Archaea; Methanobacteriati; Methanobacteriota
Description: Euryarchaeota archaeon tRNA-Asp
Rfam family: tRNA
About the family: Transfer RNA (tRNA) molecules are approximately 80 nucleotides in length. Their secondary structure includes four short double-helical elements and three loops (D, anti-codon, and T loops).
Source: RNAcentral
GCCCGCGUGGUGUAGGGGUUAUCAUGAGGGGUUGUCGAUCCCUCGACCCGGGUUCAAAUCCCGGCGCGGGCG